ACUAAGUUUCAACAACGGAUCUCUUGGCUCUCGCAUCGAUGAAGAACGCAGCGAAAUGCGAUAAGUAAUGUGAAUUGCAGAAUUCGGUGAAUCAUCGAAUCUUUGAACGCACCUUGCGCUCCUUGGUAUUCCUUGGAGCAUGCCUGUUUGAGUAUCAUGAAAU
Molecule: ribosomal RNA, 163 nt
Filed under: Thanatephorus cucumeris
Lineage: Eukaryota; Fungi; Basidiomycota; Agaricomycetes; Cantharellales; Ceratobasidiaceae
Description: 5.8S ribosomal RNA
Rfam family: 5.8S ribosomal RNA
About the family: 5.8S ribosomal RNA (5.8S rRNA) is a component of the large subunit of the eukaryotic ribosome. It is transcribed by RNA polymerase I as part of the 45S precursor that also contains 18S and 28S rRNA.
Source: RNAcentral